This 75-nucleotide transfer RNA is filed under the name Bacteroidales bacterium. Its description in RNAcentral is "tRNA-Val". It matches the Rfam family "tRNA". Rfam says of the family: Transfer RNA (tRNA) molecules are approximately 80 nucleotides in length. Their secondary structure includes four short double-helical elements and three loops (D, anti-codon, and T loops). The record is from RNAcentral. Lineage: Bacteria; Pseudomonadati; Bacteroidota; Bacteroidia; Bacteroidales.
GGGCGAUUAGCUCAGCUGGUUCAGAGCACCUGCCUUACAAGCAGGGGGUCGGCGGUUCGAUCCCGUCAUCGCCCA